This 775-nucleotide ribosomal RNA is filed under the name uncultured Neocallimastigales. RNAcentral describes it as "partial large subunit ribosomal RNA". It matches the Rfam family "Eukaryotic large subunit ribosomal RNA", at positions 16 to 645 of the family's 3401-position model. Lineage: Eukaryota; Fungi; Neocallimastigomycota; Neocallimastigomycetes; Neocallimastigales. The record is from RNAcentral.
UCACGCACACACGCGCGGCAUAUCAAUAAGCGGAGGAAAAGAAACUAACAAGGAUUCCCUUAGUAACGGCGAGUGAAGCGGGAAGAGCUCAAAUUUGAAAUCUUCAAGGUUCUACCUUGACGAAUUGUAGUUUACAGAAGUGUUUUCUGUUAGUGGAGUGGCAAAAGUUCUUUGGAAUAGGACAUCAUAGAGGGUGAGAAUCCCGUAUUUGGUCAUUCCUCCUAGCGUUGUGAUACACUUUCAACGAGUCGGAUUGUUUGGGAAUGCAGUCCAAAAUGGGUGGUAAAUUUCAUCUAAAGCUAAAUAUUGGCGAGAGACCGAUAGCGAACAAGUACCGUGAGGGAAAGAUGAAAAGAACUUUGAAAAGAGAGUUAAACAGUACGUGAAAUUGUCAAAAGGGAAGCGUUUGACACCAGUGUUGUUUUUCCGAAAAUCAAUUACGAAUGUUUUAUUUUUGAGGAGUUAUGACUUCAUCGGCUUGCUCCUUUCUUUAUGAAACUUUCUUAAUGCACUUUUCGGUUAACAAGUCAACAUCAAUUUCUUUUGUUGUAAAAGGGUAUGAGGAAGGUGGCUUUCUAUUCGGAGAAAGUGUUUAUAGCCUUGUGCCUCUGCAAUCGGAGAGAUUGAGGUCUGCAGCGUAGAUCCUUCGGGGUUAGAUACGUUUGUGCUAAGUUAUAGCUUUUCAUAGACAACUUGUUGACUAUGUUUAGUCUUGUAGCUUACUCGCUGACGCUAUUUUACCUACGCUUAGGAUGUUGAUCUCUCACAGUCGAGC